AGUGAACGCUGGCGGUAGGCCUAACACAUGCAAGUCGAACGGCAGCACAGUAAGAGCUUGCUCUUACGGGUGGUGAGUGGCGGACGGGUGAGGAAUACAUCGGGAUCUACUUUUUCGUGGGGGAUAACGUAGGGAAACUUACGCUAAUACCGCAUACGACCUACGGGUGAAAGCAGGGGAUCUUCGGACCUUGCGCGAUUGAAUGAGCCGAUGUCGGAUUAGCUAGUUGGCGGGGUAAAGGCCCACCAAGGCGACGAUCCGUAGCUGGUCUGAGAGGAUGAUCAGCCACACUGGAACUGAGACACGGUCCAGACUCCUACGGGAGGCAGCAGUGGGGAAUAUUGGACAAUGGGCGCAAGCCUGAUCCAGCCAUACCGCGUGGGUGAAGAAGGCCUUCGGGUUGUAAAGCCCUUUUGUUGGGAAAGAAAAGCAGCAGGUUAAUACCCCGCUGUUCUGACGGUACCCAAAGAAUAAGCACCGGCUAACUUCGUG
This 492-nucleotide ribosomal RNA is filed under the name uncultured bacterium. RNAcentral describes it as "partial 16S ribosomal RNA". It matches the Rfam family "Bacterial small subunit ribosomal RNA", at positions 29 to 507 of the family's 1533-position model. The record is from RNAcentral.